This 29-nucleotide non-coding RNA is filed under the name Mus musculus (house mouse). The record is from RNAcentral. Lineage: Eukaryota; Metazoa; Chordata; Mammalia; Rodentia; Muridae.
GAUUGCAUGAGGUUCAGUGUCCUAGUUCU